Molecule: long non-coding RNA, 1082 nt
Organism: Symsagittifera roscoffensis
Lineage: Eukaryota; Metazoa; Xenacoelomorpha; Acoela; Convolutidae
Exons: 3
Source: RefSeq, a predicted model, not a curated record
UCGAUCAAGUUGUUGCCAUGUCACCAAAUAAUGUUAAAUACACGGUGGUGGUCUUGUUUGGCCUUUUCCUGGUUAUCUUUGCCUUUUAUACUUCAUUAAACAAUGACAUCGACAAUAAGAUGCAAAAUCAGAAAUACUCAACGGAGGUCCUUCAUAUCACAUCUAGACGAUUGCACACUUUCAACUUCUUUGCGCCUGAUCUCACUGACGCAAAAAUUUCCACGGCUGAACACAUGAGCCAAGUAGAUUGCUCGGCUAUAAUAAAAGAGCCAAACUUCUGCGUCGGAAACCCCUUCUUCUGUAAAAGAGCUGAAUGGUAUAAGAAGAAAGGCAAGCCAAACGACGGCUUUCUUUGUACGCUGUUUACUGGAUCGGACAAGUGUGCCGUGCAUCAGUAUGCGGACUGGUACGAUUGGUUGUUUAGCGACCUGCGACAGGUGCCAAUGAGUGUCCUUGAAAUAGGAAUCGGUUGGGCCAGCCCAAACUUCGGUUUUUUAGGCACCAAAAGAGACUGGGUUUUCGGCACUUCUCAACGAGGCUGGAGAGAUUAUUUUUCCAACUCGCAGGUUUACGCUGCGGACGUCCAUAAUGAAUUGUUGUUCGAAGACGAGCGAAUCAAAAGUUUUUGGGUCGAUAUUUUGAACAAAAACACGCUCAAAGCAAUGAAAAACAAAAUUGGUACGCAGCUUGACAUUCUAAUUGACGACUCGCUUCACACUUUAGAAGGCCAGGAAUCAUUGAUAUCUGUGGCCUAGGAUUGGGUAAAACCGGGUGGGUUCUACAUAGUCGAAGACGUGAAAGCUAAAACAAUCUGCUCGGAUUCUCUACCUUCGCUUCUGAAGCGAGGCAUCAACGACUUCGCUUUUGUUCAGACGGAACCUGAAAUGACAGAUAGUGUGUUGCAAAUCAUCAGAAUACCGUAUACCAUCAAUGAAGCAAGCUAAAGUAACAAGUUGUCGGCAGCUCUGCUCAUUGUGAAACUGGGUAAAAAUUGAACUAAUAGCUAGCCUGCUAAUAAGUUUUGACAACAAAUAAUUAACUGCUAUCAAGUGAUUCAUUACCUGAUUUAAUUAUUCAUGUCA